CUACGGGCGGCUCCAGUGGGGAAUAUUGCACAAUGGGCGCAAGCCUGAUGCAGCAACGCCGCGUGAGUGAAGAAGGCUUUCGAGUCGUAAAACUCUUUUCUUGAGGAAGAAACUUGACGGUACUCAAGGAAUAAGCCCCGGCUAAUUACGUGCCAGCAGCCGCGGUAAUACGUAAGGGGCAAGCGUUAUCCGGAAUCACUGGGCGUAAAGGGUGCGUAGGUGGUCUUGUAAGUCAGAAGUGAAAGGCUACGGCUUAACCGUAGUAAGCUUUUGAAACUGCAGGACUUGAGUGCAGGAGAGGAAAGUGGAAUUCCUAGUGUAGCGGUGAAAUGCGUAGAUAUUAGGAGGAACACCAGUGGCGAAGGCGACUUUCUGGACUGUAACUGACACUGAGGCACGAAAGCGUGGGGAGCGAACAGGAUUAGAUACCCUGGUAGUC
Molecule: ribosomal RNA, 439 nt
Filed under: uncultured bacterium
Lineage: Bacteria
Description: partial 16S ribosomal RNA
Rfam family: Bacterial small subunit ribosomal RNA
Source: RNAcentral